RNAcentral lists this ribosomal RNA (638 nucleotides) under Podospora fimiseda. Its description in RNAcentral is "eukaryotic LSU rRNA". The stretch from base 248 to 401 matches the Rfam family "5.8S ribosomal RNA". The record is from RNAcentral. Lineage: Eukaryota; Fungi; Ascomycota; Sordariomycetes; Sordariales; Podosporaceae.
AGCGGAGGGAUCAUUACAGAAGGAAGAGCCUUAAAAACUCUCUCCUAAAACCCCUGUGAACAUUUACCUUUACCGAUUCCCCGGCGCAAAGCCCGGUGGUUGUUGGGAGGGUGCGGCUCCGGGACCCGCUUUUACGGCGGUCCCGGGACUGCCCCGCCCGGCCUGCCAGGCUGCCGGGGACAAACCAAACUCAAAAUUUUUACAGUGUAUCGGAGGCUCUUUUAGAGCGAAACAAACAAUAAGUUACAACUUUCAGCAAUGGAUCUCUUGGCUCUGGCAUCGAUGAAGAACGCAGCGAAAUGCGAUAAGUAUUGUGAAUUGCAGAAUCCAGUGAAUCAUCGAAUCUUUGAACGCACAUUGCGCCCGCCGGUAACCCGGCGGGCAUGCCUGUUCGAGCGUCAUUUUCACCACUCGGUAGCAGUCAUUUUUUGGUUGCGACCGGCGUUGGGGCACCUGGGGAAAAGGCCGCUUUUUAGCGGUUUCCAGGGCCCUCAAAUUCAUCGGCGGGAACGUUUCGGCUCCUGAGCGCAGUAGAUUAAUACCAAGCUCGGCGAAUACGGGGCGUGAUCGGCCGCUAAACUUUUAUUCUUAAAGGUUGACCUCGGAUCAGGUAGGGCUACCCGCUGAACUUAAGCAUA